UUGGGAAUAUUGGACAAUGGGCGAAAGCCUGAUCCAGCAAUGCCGCGUGAGUGAUGAAGGCCCUCGGGUCGUAAAGCUCUUUCAGCGGGAAAGAAGGGAAACUUGACGGUACCCGCAGAAGAAGCACCGGCUAACUCCGUGCCAGCAGCCGCGGUAAUACGGAGGGUGCAAGCGUUGUUCGGAAUCAUUGGGCGUAAAGCGCGUGUAGGCGGUAACCUAAGUCUGGUGUGAAAGCCCGAGGCUUAACCUCGGAAGUGCACUGGAUACUGGGUUACUAGAGGACGGGAGAGGGAAGUGGAAUUCCAGGUGUAGGGGUGAAAUCCGUAGAUAUCUGGAGGAACAUCGGUGGCGAAGGCGACUUCCUGGUCCGUAACUGACGCUGAGACGCGAAAGCGUGGGGAGCAAACAGG
Molecule: ribosomal RNA, 410 nt
Filed under: uncultured bacterium
Lineage: Bacteria
Description: bacterial SSU rRNA
Rfam family: Bacterial small subunit ribosomal RNA
Source: RNAcentral